AUGGAGGAUACUGAAGAGAAGAUAAAGCAGGUCUCUGUUGUGGCAGAAACCCUUAAGAAAAAGUGAGGGAAUUUUGCAGAGCGGAAGAUCGAGUACCUGAGGAAGAAGUUUACCCAUAAAUGCUUUGAAAGCAAAGAAGAAAACUCAUCUAUGAAGAAACUAAACACUACCUUGAGGAAUAUGAGCAGAUGUACAAAACUGAGAUUUGAAUGGGUAGGCUGGCAAGAAAAGCUGGCAACUUUUACAUACCUGCAGAACCCAAAUUGCUAUUUGUCAUCAGGACCAGAAGUAUCAAUAGUGUGAGCCCAAAGGUCCAAAAGAUGUUGCAGCUUCUUUCCCUUUGUCAUAUCAUCAACGCAACCUUUGUUAAGCUCAACAAUGCUUCAAAUAACAUGCUGAGGAUUGUAGAACCGUAUAUUGCAUUGGGGUACCUGAACCUGAAGUUAGUAAAAGAACUAAUCAACAAAUGUGGUGAUGUCAAAAUCAGUAAGAGGCAAGUUGCCUUGACAGAUAACACUUAGGUUGCUUGAAGUCUUGGUAAAUAUUGGCAUCAUCUGCAUGGGAUAUCUGAUUCGUGAGACCUAUACUUUUGGAAAAUGUGUCAAACAAGCAAAUAACUUCAUGUGGCCCUUCAAAUCAUCUUCUCCAUGAAGUGGAAUGAAAAAAAGAACACCCAUUUUGUUGAAGGGGAGAUUCUGGCCGCAGGGAAGACCAGAUCAACAGGUUUAUUAGAGGGACAAAUUAA
RNAcentral lists this long non-coding RNA (745 nucleotides) under Homo sapiens (human). RNAcentral describes it as "non-protein coding lnc-MGST1-9:1". The record is from RNAcentral. Lineage: Eukaryota; Metazoa; Chordata; Mammalia; Primates; Hominidae.